UACGAAGGGGGCUAGCGUUGUUCGGAAUUACUGGGCGUAAAGGGCGCGUAGGCUGUGCUGCAAGUCAGGCGUGAAAGGCCCGGGCUCAACCUGGGAACUGCGCAUGAUACUGCGGCGCUUGAAGGCGGGAGAGGAUGGCGGAAUUCCCAGUGUAGAGGUGAAAUUCGUAGAUAUUGGGAAGAACACCGGUGGCGAAGGCGGCCAUCUGGCCCGUGAUUGACGCUGAGGCGCGAAAGCGUGGGGAGCAAACAGG
This 253-nucleotide ribosomal RNA is filed under the name uncultured bacterium. Its description in RNAcentral is "partial 16S ribosomal RNA". It matches the Rfam family "Bacterial small subunit ribosomal RNA", at positions 524 to 776 of the family's 1533-position model. The record is from RNAcentral.